AUGCGUGUCAACUCGGAGCAACGUUGGGUUGCAUACAAAGAGACGGUGGCCGAAUCACUAGACAAGGCUCUUGAGUUAUUUGCAACGAAGAAGGUUGAUUCAAGUUUGCAUUUGGACUUGAACCGGAACCCCUCCCCUUUAGUUGCUAGUAGCCCCCCACCCUUGAACCAAGAUGAAAUUGUUGAACCUCUUUUGACACAACAAGUGAGGCCAACAUUGAGCCCGUUUCCAAACAACCAAAAUGAGGCUUUGCAAGAGGAGAAUGAUGAGUAUGCAGACGAUGACAAUGAAGUUGAUCCCCAUGAUAGCAAUUUGGGUGAUCUCGACAAAUAUCAUUUGCAAGAGACACUGGACCAUUCCAUCCCUUAUUCUCGUGGCUACGCAUCGGAUUCGGAUGACGAAGGUCCCGGUGAACAAGUUGAUGAGGAGGAGUUCACGAUGGAGGCCGAAGCUUUCGAGAAGGUAUUCGGGCGGGAUCAUCGGACUACAUUGUUCAAGGAUGUUAGUCUCACGGAUGAAGCUGUGGUAGAUGGUGGCCAAGGUAUAUCUCUUGGGGUUACGCCAAGAUCUCAC
This 573-nucleotide ribosomal RNA is filed under the name Triticum aestivum (bread wheat). RNAcentral describes it as "partial small subunit ribosomal RNA". Lineage: Eukaryota; Viridiplantae; Streptophyta; Magnoliopsida; Poales; Poaceae. The record is from RNAcentral.